CUUAGUUACUUGAGCUUGUAACCCGAGUGGGAGCAAUAAGAUGAUUGGGACAACCAAUUCUUUAGCCCUUUGACACAAAUAGUGUGUUUGGUUUGGUUCAUAAAAAGCGGGUUGUGGUGUAUUAUGCGUACUACGGAUAAUAGUAGUACUCAUGGUCUAAGGAUUUAGACUUGUCGGCUCCCAAAGAGGAGUUCGAUGGUGGGAGGAGGGGGAAAACCCGCGCGGGCGCGGGUUCGACCCUCAUUAUGGCUGGCUUAACAGAGCAGCGCUCCCAACUGAUGGCCGGAGCGGCCCUCCGGCCAUCGAAGACCAGUUCCCGUCCCAAGUCACGCCGCUAUAAGAUGUCAAGGUAUUCGUUGGUUGGACCAUUGUUUUUUAUUGCUUCGC
Molecule: long non-coding RNA, 387 nt
Filed under: Solanum lycopersicum (tomato)
Lineage: Eukaryota; Viridiplantae; Streptophyta; Magnoliopsida; Solanales; Solanaceae
Description: partial TCONS_00183695
Source: RNAcentral